CUCAGAGAGCCCUGUACAGAGACGUCAUGCAGGAAAACUAUGAGAAUGUGAUCUCGCUGGGAUUUCCAGUUUCCAGACCUGAUGUGAUCUCCCAGCUGGAACAAUGGGAAGAGCCAUUGGUCACAGACCUCCAGUGUUCAGAGGAAAGAGAGAUCCUGAGAGUUCCCUACACAGCAGGUGAUGCAAUGGUGUGUGAGAAAGAGGAGCAGAAUUCUCAGCAGGAAAAUGUUGAG
Long non-coding RNA from Mauremys mutica (yellowpond turtle), 233 nucleotides. RefSeq lists it as uncharacterized. The transcript has 3 exons. The record is from RefSeq and is a predicted model, not a curated record. Lineage: Eukaryota; Metazoa; Chordata; Testudines; Geoemydidae.